AUUCCCUUGAACUUUGAUCUGCAAGUCUUCUUAUUACAUAUGUUGCUUUGAACUUGAUGGAUGGGCAUGGUCAACCAGCAUUGCUUUAUAUCGUCCCGUUUACUCUUGGCACAUUUUUGUCAUUGGGAAAGAAGAGAGGUGAACUCAAU
Molecule: non-coding RNA, 149 nt
Organism: Arachis ipaensis
Lineage: Eukaryota; Viridiplantae; Streptophyta; Magnoliopsida; Fabales; Fabaceae
Source: RefSeq, a predicted model, not a curated record